CCCCGCCCUCCGUCCCUGGUGGCUGCCGGGCUCGGGGUCCGCACAGACCGCGCUGGAAAGGGAUAGUCCGGGAAGAUGCGCGUCCCACGCACCACACUGCUUGGAGGUGGAGGAGACCCGCGCGCUGGCAGGAGCUGACGCUGCGUCCCCAGCUUGUCCCCCUCGAAUAGCCUCCACCUACCGGGGCCAACUGCUUGAGGUCAGCCAGUGGGCAGGGGAGCUCACCACCAGCCAGCCGUCAUCCAGCCAAGUCGGUGGCGAGAAUCCACCCUGUGGUUCUGGAUGCAAGCCAGACACACCUCCAGGCUUAGGGCGGUCUCUGCAGGCGUGUUGGACUUCAGUGCGCUCCGACACCCAGCUUUUGAAUGCCCUGCUCCCAGCCCGGUAAACAAGCACCCAUGAGGCCCGCCGCCCGACCGGAAAAAAGUAGUCCCCUGCAACUCUCAAAGCUUCUCCCACUCCCGCUUCUCUGGGCGACUGGCACCCCCUCUCCUGUCCUCAAGGUGUCAGACUUCCCUUGCAAGAGCUGGAGGAUGCGGCUUGCCACUAGUGUCAACAAUCAAAACAGUCGCAAUGAAUAAAUGAUGAGCCACAGCGUUCCAACCACCCUCAUCCAGCUUGGUCUUUCCAAAAGGCAUAGGAAAUCAGCAAGUUUCCACCAAAUAUACCAAAACCCUAAGACGCGAGCCAGCCCAAGGGUGCAAGGUUCUGCGGCUGCAGGUGCCUAUGAAACUG
Molecule: long non-coding RNA, 735 nt
Filed under: Homo sapiens (human)
Lineage: Eukaryota; Metazoa; Chordata; Mammalia; Primates; Hominidae
Description: non-protein coding lnc-UFM1-1:1
Source: RNAcentral